GCGGGGUUGCCCUAGCCUGGUAGGGGGCAGGCCUGCUAAGCCUGUGGUCCUUCGGGCCGCGCGGGUUCAAAUCCCGCACCCCGCGCCA
RNAcentral lists this transfer RNA (88 nucleotides) under Candidatus Bathyarchaeota archaeon. RNAcentral's name for it is "tRNA-Ser". It matches the Rfam family "tRNA". Rfam says of the family: Transfer RNA (tRNA) molecules are approximately 80 nucleotides in length. Their secondary structure includes four short double-helical elements and three loops (D, anti-codon, and T loops). The record is from RNAcentral. Lineage: Archaea; Thermoproteati; Candidatus Bathyarchaeota. RNAcentral also lists the same sequence under 4 other names.